Long non-coding RNA from Passer domesticus (house sparrow), 1418 nucleotides. RefSeq lists it as uncharacterized. The transcript is spliced from 3 exons. The record is from RefSeq and is a predicted model, not a curated record. Lineage: Eukaryota; Metazoa; Chordata; Aves; Passeriformes; Passeridae.
CAGCUGCUUUUCUAGGUCCAUUAAGCACUGUGUUCUGGGACUGAGAGUGAGAAGCCCUUUUCCUUGGUUUCCUACUUGAAGCAGUGUUUGUUUUCCUCCUCAGCUGAUUUUGGCCUCUGUGCUGUGCUCAGCCCUGGGCACAGGAAACGGAGGUCGAUGGUCGGGACCACUUACUGGAUGGCACCCGAGGUGGUGAGAAGAGAGCCUUACGGCCCCAAAGUGGACACCUGGUCCCUUGGCAUUGUGGGAAUAGAAAUGGCCACAGGAGAGGCUCCUUAUAUGCAGGAGACCAGUGUCAAGGCCAGCUACCUGAUAGGCAAGCAAGGGGUUCCAAAUCUGCACCAGCUCAGGCUACCCCCUGGCUUGUGUGAAUUUCUGGGCUGCUGCCUGCAGAUGGAUGUGGACAGGCGAGGCUCUGCCAAGGAACUUCUGCAGCAUCCAUUUCUGCAAUCAGCGGAGCCUCUCUUAAGGCUCUUCUGACAGCCUGAUUGCUGCCAUCCCUGCAGCAAGGGAAUGCAAGAAGCAAAGGAGAUGACAAGGUGUGAGAGUCUGUCCGAAACUUCCCUCAUUUUUUGCCUCUCGAUCGUCAUGAAAGCCAAGACCACCGGGGAAAGGGAAAGAUCCUGUUCUGAAAAUCCAGGUCUGUCUGGUCCACCAAGCCAGAUUAUUGGCUACGGGUGUGUUUGCUCAACUCAUGGAACACUGCACCCAAGAAGGGGCAGUGUGCUCUCCUUCGCCUGCAUCACCUAGCAACGCUAGUGCUGGAAUUUCUCCACCCUUCUGACUUGGCUGGACUUUCUCUCUGGAAUGACCUUUCUGGAGGUCACCACAAAAGGACCCUCCACUCACCGUACAUCAACCACCGUGACAGAUGGACUGAGAUGGGAGAAGGUUCUCCCCUCAAGGACUGAGACGUGCAACCCCUACAUGGAAAAGCUCGUCUCUUUUCCCAAAAGGACUGAGACUGAAAUCCCCACCAUAGGGUGAGGGAAGGUAUGCGUGGGGACCGGAGCAAGUUUUGCAAGCGACCACUGGACCGAGAAGACAAUGGUUCCUGCCUACGACAUCUGCUGCUGACGACGCCUGCUCCUGAUGGACUACUGAUGGACUCCUUGUACCCUUUAUCAAUAGACUAUUUUGAAAUGGGUCCCCUUCCCCCAUUUCAAAAGGACUAUAAAAAAGGUUAGACCUGACUGAUACCUUUGAGAUCUCCCCUGACGUGAAGACGACAGGCCUCUUCGUCGACCGGACUUCGAGGGACUUUGUCAUCUGCACGUCUGGUAGCUAUAUACCUCCUUGCCCUCCCUCUCUUCUUUUUCUUUUCCUUACUCUUUUCCCUUUCUUCAUUCCCCUUCUCUCUAACACAUCUUUGCUAUGGCUAUUUAAUAAAAGUACAUGUAUUUUGAUUUUACUGCAAA